CAGGGCAAGGCGGAGAAGCUCUGUGUAGCAGCGAAAGGGACGAAGAGAUUGAGCUGGUCAUCCCGCCGGUGUUCGACAACUGCACCAAGCUUCUGGCCGCAAAGGAGCAGAUUCUGGCAAGGGACUUGUACUGGGAAGCUGUGUGUUCUGGCGGAGAGGAGGAGCAGGGGUGGGAGAGGGUGAAGAAGCUACUAAUUGAAAGCUGUGAGAAGAACCCAUUCGUGGGGGAGCCUCACCUGGUGCUGGGGCAGGUGUAUCUGAACCUGGGCAAGUAUGAGGAGGCCGAGUGGGAGGCGGAGAAGGGGCUGAAGCUGAUACUGGAGUGGGGGAGCAGCUGGGACAAGAGGAUGUCUUGGGAGGGGUGGGUGGCUUGGGGGAGAGUGCUGCUGACAAAGGCAGAGGAGAGGUCAUGGCCCCAGACUUCAUGGGGGAUCCUCAAUCUGGGUCUCGUCAAAUGAAACAAAGGUACUGUUGUUGGCUUCUAUCAACAGAAGAAUAAAUGUUGGAUAUUAACAACACAAAGUUACUGCAAGCCUAAUCAGCAUGCAUCGUAUUUAUUUUACCAUAAUGACAAAGUUUUAUGGCUGUUGUUAAACUGAUGAAGGAAGGUUCCAUCUGGUUAAUGUAUUGAUUCUGAUGACAAAAUCAUAUACCAAUCGGAGAAAUGAUGCACAAAUAAUUUACUGGAUCGAAAUCUUUGGAAGUUUAUGAAUGCUUGGAUGCAACUGGACAAUAAAUAGACAAGACUCCUCCUCCUAAGGAAAGAGGGAAAACAGCGGGCCUUGAAGUCAUGUCAAUAGACGACGGUUCCCAAAAAUAUGUGGUAAAGAAAUCAAAGAUAUAUUUGUAGAACAAUCUAAUUAUCGUGUUGAAUUCAAUUACGUGCUUUCCAUAAAAAGUACCACAAAAGACCCAGUUCUACAUACCCAGGCACUGAUUGCGGGAAACGUUGGACUUCAAGAGGACAUAUGAAUGGUGAAAUAUGACAAGGAUUUCAUCUUUCGUCUUCCGAUCAAGUGCUCGAAACAAAUUUUAACCGAAGCGAUUAUAAUCAGCCGAUCUAUGUAAGAUAAUAAGAAAACCCUAAAAUGAAGAGAAUAAAAGAAACAUCCUGAACCUUACCUUCAAGCACAACAAGAUGCAGCAUAUCGGUCAUCAACUACGAACUAGCAGCCGGAAAUUUUCAUCGCAAGAUUUAGGGCUAAUCUGGGGUUGUGACUGCGGGAAUCAAUAUGCCUUGGUUGGUUCUUGAAGGCAUUCAUUCGCCUACGAUCAAUGUCAUGAGAUCGCUACCAUAUGUAAUCGAGAUGCAGGAAUACAACUAUCAAGAAAGAAGAGUUUGAUCAAAGGAAGAGGAGGAGGGUCUACAAUAACACUUACAUGCUCCGGAUGUCUCCUCGUCGAGUUUGGGAUGCUUGUUCGUCGAUUUGGUGUUUCAUCGACGGGAAGAAAAGACCGACCCCUUUGAGAGCAUGCGCUUCACGGCCUUCAUCAAACCAUGCUAAGGUAUCUGAUUGGACCGGGUAUAUCUAAUUGGUUUACCAUGUGAUGGACCGGGUACGACCGGGUGUCUAAUCGAGUUACAGCGCGCGCGCUCAGUUCGAUUUGCUUCGCGGCAUUCACAUUCACUUCAGCCGUCCGAUGCGACAAUCGACGGCCAAGAAAGAGCUAAGCAAAACUCGAAUCAACCCAAUUCCACGACCCGUGCCGCUAAAAUUUCCGCCCUUCUCCCGCGAACACUCGAAACGAAAUCAGCGCGCGAAUCUCGAACUCCUCUCGCCUCCCGCUUAACUCCCCCUUUAUAUUGCCCCUUCUUCUCGUUCUCUCCAAUCUUGCUCUCGCCCCUUCAUUUCCAAUCCCUCUCUCGAUCGCUCUCUCUCGCGUGGUCUAUCAAUGGGAAGGAGUUCAUCAAGGUCCAACCCUCCGAGACCGCGGAAGAGGGUGGAGGCGGAGACUGCCAGCACACUGAAGCGCGCAAGGGACGGGAGCGCCUUCACCAGAUGGUAUGAUCCCUUACUUCCUCUUCUGCUGUAUUUGGAUUCUGACACCAUCUAACCUCUUCGUCAACGGCAUCAAAAUUUACCUUUUGUCUGUGAUUCAAUCGAAGUGAGGCAUGCAAAAAGGAUGUUGCUGUCGUCCUCAUCGACAUGCAUAGCUGCAGCCUUGAUUCCAAAAUCAGGAUGACUCUUGGUAGUAUCUUUCGCCUACCAGUGAUUGAUGAUUUAGAAUUUUAUGUAUGAUCUCUUAUGCCCUUUUCUGUUUGCGUUUGCCACAACAGAGUCUCAGGUUGUCGAGAAAGCAGUCGAGGCCAAGAAGCCCGUGGAGAAGUAAAUUCUUAUACACGAUACCCUCAGUCGAUUAGUACAUCCUCAUUUAGUUUUGCUUCUUCACGUUCCAAUUCUUUGUAAUUGCAGAAAAAGGGCGGUUUCCUCUGAAGGUAAGGAGAGGAAGGCAAAGAAGGGGAAGAAGUCCAAAGACUCCAGUGCCCCCAAGCGACCAGCCACUGCCUUCUUCCUCUUUAUGUAAGUGUUUCAAUGUAUCACUUGAACCAUUUUAUGCAUUUGAAGCACUUCACUGGAAAAAAUGGUCCUUUUUUUUUCCCCCCUCCACUUGUUGAACAUUGAUUAAUUCAAGCCUCUGUUUUGAAACUUUAGGGAAGAUUUUAGGAAGACAUUCAAGGAGGCUAAUCCUGACAACAAGAGUGUAGCUGUGGUAAAAAGCAAUCAUCUUAGUGUGUAUCAUUUUUAAUGUUUGUUUCCCAAAGGAGGUUCUUUGAUUUAUUUUGUUUCCCCUUGCUGCCAUUUUUACUGGGCUGAAACAGGUGUCUAAGGAAGGCGGUGAGAAGUGGAAGACCAUGUCAGAUGAAGUGAGUGUUUGUGGCGUCUUUUGAGUUAUAUGUGAUAUUAUUCGUGGAUGGACUUAUACUUAAAUUCUUAUUGUCUGAAAUCAGGAAAAGAAACCUUACAUCGAACGAGCAGCAGAACUCAAAGAAGAGUAUGCAAAAGCUGUAGAGAAACACGAUCAGGAAGAUGAGGAAGAGGUGAUUAGACUGUUCAUCAACUUUAGUUCUAUCACAUUCCAUGCAAUAUGCAUUAACAUGUUUUUUUUUUGUUUCUUUUUACUGGAUUGCCAACUUAUUGCUUCUUUCAUUUGAUAGGAAAAAGAAGGAUCAUCCAAGGAAGAAGAAGAGGUAGAAGAAGAAAAUGAGGCCUAAGGAAAGAUUUGAUUCUCCUUUGUGUAAAUUUAAAUUAGUUAGAUGGUUUUGGCUUUCUUUGGCAACUGAUUGCCUCCCAUGUUGAACUCAAGAAACAGUUAGUUUUGAAGGCUGUAAUUUUGAAGAUUAUAUUUUCUGAAUCCAUAUUUUGCUUAUGCAAAUUAAAAUAUUAUCAUAUUAAAAUUAGGAUCCAUCCGAUUCUAAACAGAUAUCAAACACGGCGAACUCUUAUGUAAUUUGAUUACGAUCUACUUCGUACGACGCCGGUAGGAUCCAAUUCGGUCUGAGGUCAGAUCCGAUCCAUCGAGUCUAGUAGCAAUCGGAUCCCACGAGAUGGUUCAUGGUCGAGUUCAAUGUGGAUUAUGAUCCGCGUAGAGCCCAAAAAAGAGCCGUUGGCUUAGCCCGAGUGGAGAAAUGGGUCUCUUUGGGUUUAAAUUAAAAAAAGGACGUGUCACUUCGUGCACCCGCGUGCCGAGGCACCCGGUCAAACACAGUAACUAAUUGGUUGACCCAAUCCAUCGUUGUCACAUAGUUUGGCGGGGUGUGGAAAUUGCGUGUGGAAAAAAAAGGUUACUCGAAAAAUUAAAAUAAGUCGUAAUAAAAACAUGUCUUCUGGGACCCGUUCUCUCUCUCUCUCUCUCUCUCUCUCCAAAUCCGCAUCUCUACCAACUUCACGGGGCGAUUGCUCCCCGGCCGAUCUCGUCUCUAUCAGUUCUUCGAUCGCCGCCUCCCUACAGAUUGGGUGUAAUUCCGCCCUCUCCUCUGAUCGGCUCUCCCUCUCCGAUCUCUGCCCACUCCUCCCAUCGCACCUCCUCACUUGAUCUCUGCGCCACUGCCGUGGAUCUCCGCCAUUUCCGAGUUGCCUUCGCCGCCGCCACCGAUCUCCAGUGCUCCCUCGAGAUCCUUCCAAAUAUAGAUCCCCAAGGUACUUGGAUAAAUCGAAAAUCAUCAUUGCACCUCUUGUGCUAGAUUUGUGACCAAACUUUGGUUUUUGGUCACCUCUCAAUUACUUCUUGUCCGUUAGAUCUGCUGUGUAGAGUUACUCUAAUGUUGUCGCACUUAGUGUGGGAGGAGGAGGAUGAAAUUGAAACAUAAAAGAUUAAAAAAAAAAAAAAGGGGGGGGGGGGGGGGGGGGCGAUACAUAAUGAAAUAAAUUAUUUAUAUAAUAAAAAUUAGUUAUAAUGUGUAUGCAUAUUAAUGCAGUAUAUUACUAUUGCAUUAAUAGUAAGGGAUAUUUUUCUCUCAUUCGAUAUGCUUUCCUUUCUGUGUACCCAUGGUAGAUGAUGGACAUUACAAAAACGGUGGUAGACCACAAAUAUGAUGGUGAUGGCCAAUAACAAACACAUUAGUAGCAAUAUCUCCUUUGUUUCAUAAUCAUAAUUAUUAAGUUUUUUUUCUAGAUUUUUUUCAUCUCGAUUUCUCUCUUCUUUUCCUACUUCCCCUUCCUCUUGUGCCCUCAUUUCACUUUUCCCCUUAUUUGAGCCUAUCAAAUUGCAUUAUAUUGAUCAAAACUGGUCACUUCUGAUUAAGCUUGAUCAGAUCUACCUAAUUUUGAUUAAAUUUUCAUAUAAGAUGACAGGGAUGACAAUUGUUUAGGUUUUGUGCUUAUCUGAUCCUCUUAAGCUGGAUGAGUAUACUUGUUAUUUGGUUUCGCGAGUGGUUUGUGUACUCGAGUGAGGUUUGGGAUAUCUUUGGCUAAUUGGGUUGGAAAACAGGUAGAAUGAAAUUCACUGGUUCCUGAUUCAUUUGCAUUCUUAGAUGACAAUUGGUCGGGUUGCUUGUGUAUUAUACCUGUCUGACCCACUUAAGUUUCGGUUACAAGUAGUCAAAGAUGCCAUUUAGGUAAGAAAGAACUAUUUCUACAUGUCUAAGAAAAACAGUGCAUUGUUAUUCUGAAUUAGAAAUUAUUUUGUCAGUUGGCUGUGUCAAGCGAUGGCUUCUGAUUUGAUGCUUGCUUUUAUCUUGUUCUUAUUGAUCGAAUUUUUUAUUUUGAAAAUCAUAGUAAUGUAUAACAAGUACAUUUUCAGGUAUGUAAUCAUUUAUGGUGAAGCUCCAAAUUGCUUCCUCAGAUUUUUCUGGUGGUGGUGACAAAACUGGAGCCAAAUAAUAUUUAACAGCACUGCAGUACUGCAUCCAUUGUCCUGCUAAAACAAGUCAUACUAUAUUGCUCGAUCUCUUGAAGGGGAAAACAUCAUGCGGCUUUCAUUGUCUCUCCAAGAUCUGAAAUCAUUCUCUAAACUGAAUUCAAGGGAGGCGGAUGACCUUGAAAAUUAUAGGAAUUAUGGACAUGCAGAGCCUCUUUGUGCUCUUCAAAAGGAACGUGUAGCAUCAAGCUUUUCAAAGGAGAAGUCCUCCCCAACAACUCCAACUAAACGGGAGGAAUGUGUUCGGGCAACUAUAGGUGUUAUUGCAUUGCUAUUUUUGUUCUUAUUGAUCUUGCUAUGUUCUGUAUACCUCCAUACAUUUUUGUCACGUGAAGCAUCUCAGUAUUACAUUAUACUUGAUAGUGGUAGUACUGGCACUCGGGUUUAUGUUUAUAAGUGGUCUAUUGACCAAAAUGAUGCCAUUCAAAAUUUUCCUAUUGCAUUAAAAUCUUUACCUGAAGGCCCUCAAAGGAAUCCUAGUGCACAGAGUGGCCGAGCUUAUCACCGUAUGGAAACAGAGCCUGGUUUUGAUAAGCUUGUUCAUAAUGAAUCUGGCUUAAGGGGUUCUUUGCAGCCACUGCUGCAGUGGGCUGAGAAACAAAUACCAAAACAUGCUCACAAAGGUACAUCUCUGUUUCUAUAUGCUACAGCUGGAGUUCGCAGGUUACCUAGUUCUGAUUCAGAGUGGCUUCUGGACAAGGCAUGGACCAUUUUGAAGAAUUCAUCAUUUUUAUGCAGGAGAGAUUGGGUCAAGAUUAUAUCAGGCAUGGAGGAAGCGUAUUAUGGGUGGAUAGCUCUUAACUACCAUAUGGGUUUAUUAGGUUCCUUGCCAGCUGGAAAAACAUAUGGUUCACUUGAUCUAGGUGGUUCAUCAUUGCAAGUUACUUUUGAGACAGAGACACCCAUACAUGAUGAUACAAGUAUAAAUUUGAGAAUUUCAUCUGCUAGUCACCAUCUUAGUGCUUAUUCUCUGUCAGGAUAUGGAUUAAAUGAUGCAUUUGACAAAUCUGUCGCCCAUCUCUUCAGAAAACUUGUGGGUACAUCAGCUGAUUUUAUUAACGAGAAGAAAUUGCAGCUUAAACAUCCUUGCUUAAAUACUGGCUAUAUGGAGGAAUAUGCCUGUUCUCGUUGCACUUCAGUUAACCUAGAAGGAAGCCCUUUGAUCGGAGGUAAAACCAUGAGCAAACGGCGGACUGGGACAAUUGUUGAACUACUUGGUGCUCCUCAAUGGGAGGAAUGUAGUGCACUUGCAAAAUUAACAGUUGAUCUGUCUGCAUGGUCUAACUUUAGUUCUGGAGUUGACUGUAAACAUAAACCUUGUGCUCUCAGUGAUGGUUUGCCUCAUCCACGUGGGAAAUUUUAUGCCAUGUCAGGUUUCUAUGUGGUUUUUCGAUUUUUUAACUUGUCUUCUGAGGCUUCUCUUAGAGAUGUACUAAAAAGGGGCCAGGAAUUUUGUGGUAAAACAUGGCAAGUUGCUAAGAAUAGUGUUGCACCACAACCUUUUAUUGAACAAUAUUGCUUUAGGGCUCCUUAUGUUGCAUCUCUUUUGAGAAAUGGGCUGCAAAUUAAAGAUAGUCAGGUGAUUGUUGGUUCUGGUAGUAUUACUUGGACACUGGGUGUAGCCAUAUUGGAGGCUGGACAAACAUUGUCCAGUAAGGUUGAACCACAAGCCUAUAAGAUAGUACAAACAGACAUUCAUCCAGCUAUUCUUCUAGCAGUACUUUUGAUCUCACUUAUUCUACUUUGUUGUGCACUAUCAUGUGUUAGCAAUUGGAUGCCAAGAUUUUCUCGAAGAUCAUUUCUCCCACUUUUCAGGCAUAACAGUGUGACAAACUCUGUUCUUAAUAUCCCUUCUCCUUUCAAGUUCCAGCGGUGGAGUCCUAUUGUCUCAGGUAAGCUUCUCUAUUGUUGGUAAUUUUGGUUGUCUUUACUUGAGCCACAAAAGUCACCUUUUUUAUCUAUCUGGAGCAUAGUUACUUUUAGCUGUUCAUAAUCUAGAUAUGAUGUUGGCUUCUCUUGACUAUAUCCAUGACAUAGUUUUCCUUGCUUGCCACUUUGUAGAAUAGAUAUUACACUGUUUUCUAUCUCAUUUAUUUUGGAACCCGAGUGACGGAUUAUUUUAAAAUGAACAAUGAUUGUGGUGUAAUUAUCCCGACAACUAAUACUUAAUGUUGGUUGGUGUACAAGUUACGAAACAUGGAUCUAUUUUGAUCUUCUGCCUUUUUUUUAAAGAAUGUAAUAUUAUGCGUUCUGAACAAAAUUUUUCUGUGCCUUUGAAGUCAAUCCAUUGGACCAUGUGACUUGCUGUUAUAUCUGUUUCUAUUAGCUUUUGCAUUGUUAGAGACCAGUAAGCAAUUACUUCUAGAUUGUCAGGCUGCAUGAAGAUUCCAAUUGCAUCUUUCUGCGGAUGCCUAUUUAAACUAUUGACUUAUCAUGUCAGUGGCUUCGUGAGCUUGAUUAAUCAAUGUUACUAAUUUGAUGCAAAUUUAGGGAUGAUCUCAUAACCAAUUGUCUCCUUUUAAGUUCAAAAUGUUCAGCAUUUUGUUUAGCUGCAUAACCGGAUUGGUCAAAUUUGGUUAAUUCAUAAUUUAUUGGAACAUAGCUAGUCUUUCAUGACAAAGCACGAAAAAUAGAAUUUGGAGUCUUCAAUUCAUUUUCUUUAAUGUUAUAGGUGAUGGAAGGAUAAAAACACCACUCAGUCCUACCAUUGGUGGUUCUGAGCAGCAGCCAUUUAGCAUGGGACAUGUCUUGGGAGGCAGCAGCAUACAGCUUGGUGAAUCUUCUGUGCAUCCCUUGGUUGCAUCUCAUAGUCAUUCAUCUGGUAUUGUAGGCCAAAUGCAGUUUGGCAAUGGAGCUGGAUCCUUCCGACCUCCUCACCGGGGCCAGGCAACACUUUCUAGCCGGAGAUCUCAGUCAAGAGAAGACCUUAGCUCUUCAUUGGCGGAAGCCCACAUGGUGAAGGUUUGACCUACAUGUUCAACUAUAGAUCUGGUACAAUCUUGUAUUUUUUUUCCUGUGCUACUUUUCUAUAGUACGUUGCCUUUCCCCAUAUGGAGCACCUUCAGUAAAAAAAUUCUGAUUAUCUCUAGGAUUUAACUAAUUUUCAAAAUGCUGGUACACUUUGCCUACUGAGUGCUGUACCUUUAAGUGUAUUGAGUGCUUCUUCUGAAGCAGGGAUUCAGAUGCAACAGAUCAAGAUCUCUAUAAUGAUUUAUCAACUUGCAACAUUCUUCAAUCCGCCUUUAGCCAGGUUCUUGGACCGCAAUCCCACUUUGUUUCUAGCUUGUUGGAGCUCCAAUUGGAUGGAUCCUCAUUCUUUUCAGGUUUUAUAUCACAGUGGAGUAGUAUUUUGCUCCUAUUAUAAUGUCUUUUAACAUGAAUUUAAUUGGUAUUUUUGAUUCAAUCUGAAAGUAUACUCGAUUUGUUCACCCGAAACAACAAGCAUGAGGUGGAGAUCAUGUUCCAUCAGUUGGGCUUUAUUCUUCAGCUUUUCUGAUACUUUGCAAUUGUAUUAUUUACUCUUUUUCUUUUUGUAGAAAAAAAUGUAAUACCAGUUAUAGCUGAGAAUAUUGUGCUUGCUGAUAUUGCAGCAAGAGUUUGUUAGCUAGAACAUUUUCAUUUUGUCGAAUAAGUGUAUUGAAUAGUAUGUGCAAGACUGUGGAUCAAGCCAAUGAUGAUAAAUUGAAUAGUGCAAGUUUUCCAUUUCGAGUAAACUAUCUUGUUUGCAAUAAAAAAUUAUGAGAUUUCUGCAGAUCAGCAAAAUUAAAGAGAUUUCCUCACUUUAGAAACUCGCUUACUGCUAGGUUGUGUCAAAUUGGAAGUAUACUUGGGUGAAGUUAAGUAAGAGUAGAGAUCUAUCUUUGUUUCUCAACUGCCAAGCUUUCCAUGUAAUGGAGUGAUGUAAAUGAGUAUCUCUGCUUCAACUGCAUUUUGGACGAUGGAGAAGUAGUCCGAGGUUCUAGAUUCGGUUGGCAAACAAAACAAAAGAAGGUUGAACAGCCAAUGAACUAUUGCAGUCAUCAUGAACUGAUCUUGCAAUAUCUGCUUUCCUUUUGCAUCCAUGUGAGGCCUUGUUGAGAUAAGGUGCAGUUAUCUUAUAUGUACAUCACCAGAUCUCCCAAUUGGUUUGACAGUCCAGCAAGUCACUGGUCCUAAAACCCUGUGCUCGUGGCUGUGUUGAAGGAAUUACUUUGUACAACACCCAAAUCAAUUCAUGGCUUAUUUAAAUGUACAUUGUUACGAUGCAGCUGCUGUUUAUCUACAGUUAUUUGUUGAUGUCAGGUAUUCUUUGCAGAACAUUGUUGCCAUACACAAUCACAAGAAGCAGGUCAACCUUUUCUUUUAUUUUUUAUUUUUUAUACCUUUUUUGCUCUUCACUCUAGGUCAGAUCUACUUGUUGCCCUAGAAUUUGAAUUCUUGCUGUUGAUUGUUAUGCUUGACCCAUUGAAUCUCUUUGGAAGCCGAUGCUUUAAUAAUUCAUUUCAUUUUUAAUUGAAUUCUCAUGUUAGGAAAAACAGGUUCUCAAAAAAUUGCUAUUCCUGAGGCUUUUUUUAUCAACAUCUUUCUCAUCAUCCUAUGUCAUUAAAACAAUCAUAAAUAUCAUUCUUCCAGAAAGGAAAAAGAUGCUAAAUUGUUCACUACAUAAAUCUUUUGUUGGCUAUAUUAACUAUGUCAAAUCUUGUUCCUUAGCAACACAUUUAUAGGUUGCUACUUGUCCAUCCUCAACCUUUUAUUAAUCAUCAUUCUCCUCCAAAGAUCCUCAAAGAUUCAUCUGACAAAGACUUGGUGCUCCUAUCUGCUUCUAAACCAAAAGUUCCAUCACUGAUCUUUUUUAAGCGUGUAGGUAAUAGGCAUAGCAGUAGCUGUAAGAUAGCAUUAGUUCAUGAGACAUCUGUCUCUUACAAGAAGAUAAGUUUGUACUUGUUUAAAACUAAAUGCUGCUCUCUCUCUCUCUCUCUUGUUCGAAUGCCUCAAUUAUUGGAGUGUUGUUGCACAGCCCACUGCCUCCCAAUCUCCAUUCUUCUCCUUGGUGACAUCUCCACUUUGUGAUCAUUUUUCUUGUGGCACUAGAUCUUGUUCUUGUCGUAUCCUUUGUGCUCUCAGUUGUUUAGUGUUGAUGGUUGUGUUGGGUGACUAAUGUAAUCUAUUUUGGUUAAUUAAGUUGCUUUCAAGAUUUAACUCUUUUCUCCUAUUAAUGUGAAAGCAGCUUUCUAAAGUUUCCAUUGUGAUAUUUUUCCUUGGGAACAAGGAAGAGGGUUUGCUGUGCUCAGUAUCUCCUCUACCAGAUACUUCACCAAGUAUGCAUGCAGGUGAAUUAUUUCACGCAACAUGGUUAUAUAAUUGCUUCGCUCUUUUUGCUUAAGGAAGUUACUUUGAUUUUGAAUGUUAUAUUUGUCCAAAGGAAAAAUGUAUGAUGAAGUUGGCAGUGGCUGUUCCAUUGCUGUGGGACUUGUGAGCAAACGUGGGCAAUUGCAGGAACUAAUAAAGGAGAUAGCCUUUACAAUGAUGCAGCUAAUAAUGCUGCUGCUGCUGCUGCUGCUGUGUGGAUUCACAUAUAUUCAGUCUUGGUGCUCAAUCACUCCCAACUCCUCCCACUUCCACAGUGGCUGCUACACUCAUCCUAGCUUCAAAUAAACAACAGAUAAGGAAGGGACAACAACAAGAAUCAUCAUUCAGGUGCCAACCCAGUCACAGGUUUGUGAUCUAGGCUUUUUAACCACCAAAGUCACUCGUUUACCUAAAAAGAUUGAAUUGUUUAAUGUCAGCAUGAGUUGUUUUCACUAGUAAACAAAUGAAGCAUGCAUUUCUAGCUUCAUCACUGUCAUGCCCAUCAUCUUAUUAAAACAACAAGCACACUGUUCUCCUACAUCACUCCUAAUAAAAAUGCAUUGUAAACUUCCAGUUCUCCUACAUCAAUCCUCCUGCAUGCAUGUCUUGUUGCUGCUGGUUCUUUUUUAUGUGACAUGAAUAAUGUUUAAUUUUAAGCCCAUGUUCUUGCUGAUUGAUUGAUGCACACAUUUCAUAAUGCUUGCAUGGUAUGAAGCCAUUUCAUUAUCCCACACAUUUCAUCAAUCCUGCAUGACUUGUUGCUGGUUCUAUUUUUAAGUCUCUCAAGGGAAACAUUAUUCUUUUUAUGUGACAUGAAUAAUGUUGAAUUUUGAAGUCCCAUCUUCUUGCUGAUUGAUGCACACGUCUCAUAAUGCUUGCAUGGUAUUUCUUUAUGUCGUCUGUCUGUUUGCAUGAGAGCGUGCUGAGUGUGAAGCCAUUAAUUGGCCUUUCCACAUACAGGUGGUGUACAUCCUAGAGGAGGAAAGCAGACUGUGGUCCUUCGCUUUGUCUCCUCACCGUGCUCAACCUGCUCGGUUCAAGUGAUUUGGCGCCUUGACAUGGUCUAACUCCGUAACAUCACUAAAGGUAUAACCCCUCUGUCAUCACAAACAAUGUCAAAGAUGUGCAACAAAAUUGCCGGUGUAGAUUCCUAUCGAGGGAUGGUUGAAGACGAAGAAGAUUACAUAUGUAGGUGUGUCACACAGCUUUAAGCGACCCAACACUCAUCCAUCCUCCGCUUUUGCCAAAAAGCAGUCCAAGUGAAAGCUACAACACAUCAAAUCGAGUUGGAAACUGCAAAGCCCAAACCAUUAGACACACACCGAAUCCAAACCUCGAAGCCACCCAUCCCUCCACACUCCCACAUACUAACACAGCAUAAAAGCCGCUCUCGUUUGGAGUCUCAUUCCUCGCACAGACACCUCCUUACAUUAAACAGGAAGAGAUGGUGGUGACAUCCUUCUUCGUCCUCCAACUACUAUUCUUGCCUCCCUUUGCGGCUCUCGCACUCGACUUUCACGUCGUGAAACCCCACGACCUCGCCUUCGGCGCCCGCCACCGUCCCGCGAAGCUCGCCCCACUCGGCCACGGCCAUAACAGGCUGUCGUUGAGCUUGUUCCACCGCGACGCGCUCCCCGGCCGUAACUUCUCUGGCCAUCGUCACCGCCUCGACCGCCUCUUGGAGAGGGACUCCCGGCGGGUGGUCACCCUUACGCGCCGCCUAUCCACCGCCAGAUACCAUGUGGACGACUUUGGUUCCGAGGUGGUUUCCGGCUUGGAAGAAGGCAGCGGGGAGUACUUCGUCCGCGUCGGGGUCGGCGUGCCGCCGCGGGACCAGUACUUGGUCGUCGACUCCGGCAGCGACAUCGUGUGGAUCCAAUGCCGGCCGUGCUCGCAGUGUUAUGCCCAGUCUGAGCCGGUGUUCGACCCGGCGGAGUCGGCGUCCUUCGCGGGCGUCGCGUGCGGCUCUCCCAUCUGCGGCCUCCUCCUCUCCGGCGCGUCGGCGGCGGCCGGGUGCCAUGCGGGCGACUGCCGGUAUGCCGUCUCUUACGGCGACGGAUCCUCCACGAAGGGCACCCUGGCGCUGGAGACGCUGACCUUCGGGACGAGCGCCGUCCGAGACGUGGCCAUCGGGUGCGGCCACAGCAACCGCGGCCUCUUCGUGGGCGCCGCCGGAGUUCUGGGCCUGGGCUGGGGGCCCAUGUCCUUCGUAGGCCAGCUCGGCGGCCAGGCCGGCGGCGCCUUCAGCUACUGCCUCGUCAGCCGCGGCUCUGACGCGCCCACCGGCUCGCUUGUCUUCGGCCGGACGGCGGCCGUCCCGGUGGGCGCCGUGUGGGUCCCGCUGCUCCGCAACCUGCGCGCCCCCAGCUUCUACUACGUACGCCUGCUGGGCCUCGGCGUCGGGGGGGUGCGGCUGCCGGUCCUCGAGGACGUGUUCCAGCUAACCGAGGAAGGGGAGGGCGGGGUGGUCAUGGACACCGGCACCGCGGUCACCAGACUACCAGACGCGGCCUACGCGGCGCUGCGCGACGCCUUCGGGGCGGCCACCGCGGGCCUGCCACGGGCGCCCGGGGUGUCCAUCUUCGACACCUGCUACAGCCUUUUCGGGUACCAGAGCGUGCGUGUGCCGACGGUGUCGUUCUACUUCGCCGGCGGCACGAUACUAACGCUUCCCGCCCGGAACUUCUUGAUUCCGGUGGACGACAUGGCGACGUUCUGCUUCGCGUUUGCACCCUCCUCGUCCGGCCUCUCCAUCAUGGGCAACAUCCAACAGGAGGGGAUUCAGAUAACGUUUGAUGCUGCCAAUGGAUUCGUCGGCUUCGGACCCAACACUUGCUAAGUACUUUGUUUAAGCUAUAGAUAUGAAUCCUGGAGACUGCGUAGUAUCUUAGGUUGCAUGAACGCAGGCCACAAGUAUAAUGUACAUAUCGAGUGGCUUCGAAGCAGUAAGUAGAGAGAGCAGAGUUGAUUACUUGUUGCAGACUCUGUUAACUACAAGAGGAACUAAACCAUCUCAUGUUACUCUGUAUGGUUCUCUUGCUCGAAUAAAAGCUACGAGUUUGCAGGAGGGCCCGAGAGGUGGAUGCGAUGAUGCCAUCUUGGUGUUGAUGCCUUUGACCAAACUCGGAGCAACUCGAUCGGCGGUUUCCUUUUUGUCAUUGACGAGUCUGGUUCAUGCUCCUCCUCUGGGUUGCCUCCAUGGGCGCGGGGAGGCCCACCGAGAGGGGCAAGGAGUGGUGGCACUGAACAAAGGGAGGAAUCCCUGAAAGCAAAGAGAGGACAAAGUCAUGGAUGGACUUGGGGUUUCGUCUCCCCAGGAUGACUGGGUAUAUUCAAACACUGCUUUCUUCUGCCGCUCAGUGGCUCUUCUGGAGAGCCAUCAUUGAAGGCUGGAACUUUGCAACUGGGAAUCUAUCCCUCUGCCUGUGGUUGAACUUUGCAGGACUAAAUCACCUUUUAAUUCUAUGUUGAAAAGGAUAAUGCAUUUAGCACGUAAGACAUUAACCAUUAGGACUCAGCUUCACUGCAGUGAAUGUGAUUUCACUUUCUUCAUCGUUAGUGAAGAAAGAAAGCACGUAAGGGUUUUGGCAGAAAAGAAGCAAGAGUUGAUGUUUUCUUGAUUUUUAUAGUGUUUUGGCAGAUAGAGAUUUGUAUGCAAAAAAGCAUAUAUGUCUUAUAUGUAUGGAGAUUGUAAUAUGGAUCUCUUUUUCUUUUGUGGGUAUAACUUUAUAAACCACAGUUGAAUGAACAAGUGGCAGUAACAUNNNNNNNNNNNNNNNNNNNNNNNNNNNNNNNNNNNNNNNNNNNNNNNNNNNNNNNNNNNNNNNNNNNNNNNNNNNNNNNNNNNNNNNNNNNNNNNNNNNNNNNNNNNNNNNNNNNNNNNNNNNNNNNNNNNNNNNNNNNNNNNNNNNNNNNNNNNNNNNNNNNNNNNNNNNNNNNNNNNNNNNNNNNNNNNNNNNNNNNNNNNNNNNNNNNNNNNNNNNNNNNNNNNNNNNNNNNNNNNNNNNNNNNNNNNNNNNNNNNNNNNNNNNNNNNNNNNNNNNNNNNNNNNNNNNNNNNNNNNNNNNNNNNNNNNNNNNNNNNNNNNNNNNNNNNNNNNNNNNNNNNNNNNNNNNNNNNNNNNNNNNNNNNNNNNNNNNNNNNNNNNNNNNNNNNNNNNNNNNNNNNNNNNNNNNNNNNNNNNNNNNNNNNNNNNNNNNNNNNNNNNNNNNNNNNNNNNNNNNNNNNNNNNNNNNNNNNNNNNNNNNNNNNNNNNNNNNNNNNNNNNNNNNNNNAACCUAACCUACUCUCUCUCUCUCUCUCUCUCUCUCUCUCCCUCUCCCCAGUCCCUUCCAGGUGCUUUGGAUGAUCUCUGUUGUCAUGAGCUGAUGCAGAGACCAAUGAAUGUUUGGGACAUGGUUUUUGAGUGUACACCCAGAAAAACUGAUCCAUAUGGCAUGUUUGUCUAGAGACGAAGGUUGAGUGGGAGACCAAGUGGCAAAAGUAAGUUGGAUUCAAGGGGAAAUCUUUAAUGGCUCUUCUACUGGAUCUUUAAUGUUUUGUCUUUGCAUAAAACGGUUGCCUUAUGAGCUAGACAUAUAAAUCUAUGUUUAGUCUGUCAAAGAAAUCUAAGUUCAGCAUCUGACCGAAGCUUGUAUAAUCUAAGUCAUCAAACAAAUAAUAUUCAAGACAGAUAGACCUUGUUGACCAAUUCUAAACUUCAUCCAUUCUGAGACAUUACUAGGAUUUCACAAGUUCAAAUAAUUCAAUCUAGCUUGUUCAAUAUUCUCAACUUAUCCACUGCAUGCAUCAAAAGAACAAGAAUCAUAGUAUAAUGUCAGAGUCCUCAUUUGAAUCAAGAUAGAUCUUGAUGCAACAGAAGAUUAAAUGCAUGUGACAAAAACACUUUCAGAGCUUUUUUGCUUCAUGAUGCAGAGAUAAUUCUCUGAGAAAGAAUGUAUGGUUUUCAGAUGACUCAUGUCAUCUGACUCAUUUCACCAUAUAAGUAAAUGGACACAAAUUACUAACUCAGUGCAUCAAUUUAAGAGAUCAAGCAAAAGCAAAGUUAAGGAAAACAGGUAUACUUCAUCUCUUCUUUAAAUUGGAUGAUGUCUUUACAGUAAUCACAUGAUUUUAAAACAAAAAAAAAAAGAGUAAAAUGGUUUUCUGUCAAAUUAUAUGAUGCCUGGCAAAUUUAAAUUGAUAGCCAGGAAAAGAAUGAACAUCAAUGUGAAGGUAUUAUAUAAUGCAAAAAAUGUCUUAUGAAGAAUCCCUGCAACAGGUGAGAACACAGUCCUCCAGAAAGUUGGCAAGCUGAGAACUGUAGAGACCUGGAUGGCUUCUGAAAUGAUCAACAUGAGGAGAUGACAAGAAAUCACAUGCCCUGACCUCAUGCCCGGCUCUCCGUUGUGCUUCUACAAAGGAUUCCACCGAUUUUGCAGGAAUUACUCGGUCAGCAGAGCUAUAUAUAUACAAUUGAGGACAUUUGGGUUGCUCUGAAGUCAGUAAAUCCAAGACAUCAGACAAUCUCCUGUAAGAAUUGCCAAAAACAUAUUAUUCGUCAUUGGAAUUCCACUGUCUUACAGUGAAAAAGAUCGUAGCACACAGAACUAACAGCCAACCUUAUCUAAUGUCUCCACAACACUAACCCACCAUUUAUAUGAUUUAUUUAUAUGAUUUAUCUCUUGAUGAGUAACUCCAAAACAUUUAAGACAACUUGCUUUUUCAUAAAUAAAUCCGGGACUUGCAAGAUUAGUUUGUGUUUCGAAAAACUAGUCUACCUCAUAUUAGACUGGUUAUAUUGAGCACUUUGGAAAAAGACAGAUAGCAAUAGCUGACAAUUGAUUACGGAUAGUAAACACUACCUGUUGAUAGCAGGUAAGUUUAAGACCACCUCGAAGAACUUCUCCAGGACUACUAACAAAGCACUUUCUGCGACUGCAGGUUUAGGUCCCAAGCUUGAAUCACCAGUAUCCGUCAUGCCCUUCCCUGAAUCAUUUGAGCCUACCAUCCCCUUUGUUGCUACACUCUGCUUUUUCAAGAAAGCAGCAGAAAAACCUGAAGCCCAGACCUAUACCAAGCAAAGAUUGGAACUUUUAUCGCACUGGAUUUUGAGAAUUAGGAACGGUAUGAAAACUAAACCAUGGUUAAUUCUUCCAAAGGUGCAAUAUAAUCACAUUGCUUGUGCAGAAAAUUGAGCUUAUCAGAAGAACAAAAGAAUACCACAACUAUGAAUAAAAAAGAAAGUAUAUUUAUUAUAAUAAUGUGAAAGAGCAGACUCAUGCACAUCUUUUUUCUUCUUACCCUAGUUCUGUUUUUGGCUCAGAACACACAUUUUAUUUCUCUUAAACUUCCUCAUUUUCCCUCUUCUCCUUUUCAAAUAAAUGUCGGUUUGUUACCAAAGUCAAGCUCAGAUUUGAUCAUGUCAAAAGACUUGAUGCAAUGCUAGUAAUACAGGAUGAAGAUCCUCAAUGUGUAACUAAAGAAAUGGUGAUAGGAAAAGGAAGAAGAUCAAUAGAAGCAUUAUUUAGGUAAUGAUGGUAUGUCACAACGACAAAAGAAAAUUAUCACACUGAAUAUAAUUAUACAAAUGCACAAAUUAGAAUUGAAAUGAACACCACUGACAUAAAACUAACAAAUCAUCAAAGCAAAAGAUAAACAUUCAAUGAAGUAUAGAUCAGAAUUCCAGACCAAACAAAUCCUUUACCUGAGGAUCGGAUGCAGCAACAGGAGCUGAAUCCACGACACAUCCCUUGAUCUUUCCGAUCACAGAUGGAUCCUGCUUCCUAAACUUCUCGAGUAAUACUCCAUAACUACAACAAAUAACAAUCAAAUUUUAGCCACAAACUUCUCUUCGGAGGAAGAAGAAGAAAGCUAAUGGGAGAUGGACGACAGAGAGCGUACGUCAACCAGCCUGUGUUACUGAAAGUGUGGAAGACCAAGUUCUUCCCGUUCUCCUCCGAGACCCAAUCCACAAGAUGCUCUGCUAGCAACUGGACAUCCUGCUCGACCUUCCCUCCGACCUUGUAGCUCAUUACAUCGGCCAAGGGAAAUGUGAAGGUCACGACAUGAAACCCCCUCGAGGUGUACCAAUCAGCAUACUUCUUCAGAUGCCUCUGCUUCGCUCCGAGCCAGCCGAGCAAAAUCACCACCGUCUGGGACUUUGCUCUCGAGCAGUGAUCGGUCCCGGCAACCCCAGAAGCAUUGGGGUCAGGCAGAUGCCAGCGGUACAUCACAUCCGAUGGCGAAGAAGCGAUGGCCGGCGGGAAUUCGUCUUUCUUUUUGGGGUUGGCCAGCUUGGCGUACUCAUACGGGGAGAGGAGGACUGCAGGCGAAGCCAUGGGGAAGGGGGGCGAGACGAAGACGGAAUCUGGGAGAUGGGCGGAACGCUUUCUGUCGAUGGGCAAGAAUGGGAGGUUCGAGAUGUCGGAAACGGACAUCCGACGCGCUGCAGGCUCUGGCUCCGGCAACAAGACGUGCGUAGGUGCGGCGGCAUGGGAGUCCGACCGAUUGGGCUGGGAGGAGACGCGGUCCGGCAGUGCCGACGACACGGCGGCGACGGCGACGGCGGCUGCGGCGGAGAGAGGUCGAUGCAGAAUUCCGUAAAGAGAAGCCAUUGGGGGCGAAAUGGCUCAGCGUCUGUGCAUGAAAAGUAAUAUAAAGGAAAACAAUUCUUUGCAGGCUCGUCGAGGACGCAACCACCGACCUGCUCUGUGGGAAACAGGUCAUCCACGCGUUAGAAUCAAGCACGAUGAACACGGAUUGAGAAGGGAGUCAAAGUGGAGGAUUCUUGGUCAAAGGCCUCACGAAGCCGAAAUUAAUUGACCAAGCGCGUCGCUUUCUCGUUCCAAUUAGAUGGCUAAGCUCGUCGAGGAGCGAACUGCGACUUACCCGAGAGAACCGAGGGCUUCCGGGAAGAACAGAAGGGCCGGCUGUCGGAGGACGUCGACAGCCAAGCCCAGCCUCAGACCACCAACUCCAAUUUCUUUCUCCUCCUCCUCUCGCUUCGAUUUGCAAACCAAGAACUGUAAGAAAAAUCGAAGCUUUUGAGAUUUAAUCGAACAACAUCAACAAAUCGGACCGAACAUCGUGCACAAAGGAUCUGAAAUAUUUGAGAGAUCCCUAAUCGGAUCAGUUGGUGCACGAAAACAAAGAUGCAACCUUUGUGGCUCGAUGGGAACGGAAGCUCCUCAAGAAGAUCCAAUGGAACAGGAAGGGAAGAAGGGCGGCGGAAGGCGAAGGCGAAGGAUAGCGUAGCGUCUCCGCGACCGUGGAUUUAUGAUGGAAAUCUUGUCGAUCCGCUCCUCUCCUCUCCUCUCCGCUACUCCCCCUAUCGAAUCGCAACCAUUGUCGCGUGUUUUCCCUUUUCUUUUUUUUUUUCUUUUCUAUUUUCUAUUUUUGGUUUUCUUCUCAUCCGAUUCAAAUAUGCCUUCGAAUAUGCUUUUUUCUAAAUUUAUUUUCUCUUUUUUUAAAUGCAAGUUUUAUUGGGAAGUGAAGCCGUCGUCGGCAAAAUUUUGACCCGCCAAAAGCCCUUCCCAGGGACCCGGAAUCUACUCAGGAUUCUCCUCGAAUCCAGGAUAAGCUCUCGUAGACGCCCGAUCUUAAUCGGACGGCUGUGAUCAAUGCAAUUACAAAUUACGAAUCUGGCUUGGAUUGAAACAGUGCGAGGUGGAUGGAGGGGGAGGACGAUGUUCGAUGGUCGCGGCCGUCAGGUGGAGAGGAUAAGGAUGAGAAGUACAGAACAGAGAAAAGUGAGGGAGGUGAACCUACCGAUUCAUGUGAACCGAGUGAAUAUGGAUGACUCAGCUUAGAAAACAUCCCAUUAGGAUCAUCAGAAAAAUCUUUUAUAUUUUUUUAGCAUUAUAAAGAAGAAAGCGGCACAUUAAUUAAUAUAUGAAAUUAUGAAAUAUUAAAAUAUUUAUAAUUUAUUAUUAUUAUUAUUAUUUAAUAAAGAAUAAGUGACUAAGAUAAAAUAUGAAUCCAGAAUCUUAAGAUAAAUUAUCAGAUUAUAAGAUAAUUUCUAGUUCAAACUCACAAGUUACAAAACCUUAUGCCUAAUAAUAUUAGGAUAAAAAUCUUGAUUAUACUAUCAUGGUAUUAAUCUAAAAAGAGAGACGAGGAAGGUUGAAUAGUUGAUAUCAUCAUAUUAAAUGUGGCUUAGGGUCAUGUUUUAACAGGCUUUUGCGCCCAAGCUUGUCAAACACUGUGCCUCUAAUUAGAGAGAAAUACUUAAUUCUAAUUUUAUUGGAUAUCUCAACUGUCAUUGCGCUUACCAUAAGUUCGAAUAUGGUUUACAUAAAUUAAACUUCCUAAUUGAAGUAUUAAUUAUUGUUUCCUUCAAACUAUGAAAUCUUUUUUUAAAUCAGAUUAUCCUUUAAGAAAUAAAAUAGAAUUGGUACACUAGGUAAGUUUUAUUUUUUAGUAUAAAAGAUAAAUAAUAUAGAUGAGAUUGAUUCCAAAAUCUUGAAUAUAUAAUCUAAUAUCAUAUUUUGAUAAUAAAAUCAAUUGAUGAAUUUAUGAUCUAAUAUUAUUUUUGAGAAAAAUGAUGCAAGACUAACUUCGAUCAAAAAAAGGCAAAACGAUUGAAGCAAGAAGAAUCAGACAUUAGACCAGAGUCAGAAAUCAAGCAUCGGGCUGGAGAAUCGGACAUUGCGCCAAGAUCGAGUGUUGUGAGAGUCAACAUACCGAAGGAUUGAACAAUAUGCCAAAGGUUUAAACAAUGCGUCAAAAGUUCAUCGAGAGUUCGAAUGAACCAAUGACACCCCGAACAACUUAGAUUCUUGUCUUGUGAUUGUUUAGGUCUUAAUUGUCCUAAUUAAGUCUUAAAUUGAGUUAGAUUUGGGUCCCUACUAACUCAAUUAGAGGCUCUUUGAGCCUAAUCUAUGGCUAAGUUAGGCUCAUUGGGAGGCCCAUUCAGUGACCCAGGGUUAUGUUAGGUGCUAGUCAUAGGUGUCCUAUAAGCCAAACACGUAAAUAAUGACACAUGUAACAUGACACACAAUCUUUUUGCUUAUUAUAUUAUUUAGAAUUUUAUCACUUUAUAUUACUUAUUGCAUGAAUAUAUUGUGAUGUUCAUAAAUUUGUACAAUGGGAAUCAGAUUGUGAUGAGAUUACGAUAAUUAGACCGAUUCGUCUUUAAACACAAACUCUAAAUAAUCCCGAUCAUAGGUUACUCGAGAGGGAUAUCGAGAUAACCGGACAAAUUAGUGUACUAUAUACUCGUCCAUAUGAUGGAGGUGACUGGUCUCAUAGCUACUCAUGUGAAAACACUAAGGAUACAGUGCAGGUGCUCAUUGGAGAAUGAGUUCACUAAUUGAUCCGUUCACCGAAUGCUGGAUGGUUGAUGAUAUCUUAUUGUCAAAUAGUGAUUCCGUCAUCCCAAUAGUGUACCUAAUCCUUAGACUUGAGAUAUCAAGGAUGUCCUAUAUGAGUACUCCACUCUUUGAUACCGGACUUAUAUGUUUGGAAGUUCCAGAUCUAGCACAAUUGGUGAUCGGGAGUGGCAGCCAAUCUUAUGAGGGCUAUUGAGUAUCGAUAGAGGAUCAUCUGCUCUCAGUAUCAUGAAAGGAAUAUCCCAUAUGUUCUUACUGUUAGGACUAUUUCAGCACUAAGAGGGGGGUGAAUUAAUAUUUUUGUAAAACUUCGACAGUUUGAAAAACUUCAUUCGAUAAAAGCAUUUGUAAGUGUAGUGAGCAAAUAAAUCAGUUUGUAAUCAGAAUGAAGAGCAUAAAGUAAAUCCAAAUCGAGUUUAUAGUAGUUCGGUCAUCCCGACCUACAUCCACUCUUGAGUCUUCUACUAUCGAGGCCAUCGGCAUUCACUACCAAUCUUCUUUUAGCAGACGAAGAUCAACUAUCCUCUUAUAACUAUUUUUCCUUUUGAUAGGCUCAAAAGAGAACCUUUACAACUCUUACCUCACUUAUCCCUUAGAAAGACAUCUAAUUCUAGGAAGAGACUGUAAACUUUAAAAGAGAUUACAAUAAUUUUUCACUCAAGUAUUAUUUUCCCUUUCUACUCAAUUUCUUGCUGCCUUAAGCAGGAAAGAGUGGGGUAUUUAUAGACCCCAAAUGACUUUAAAAAUAGAGUCAAAAAGUAUCAUAUCCUCGGUUUCAAGGAUAUUGAUUGUACUACUAGUACUAGACGAUACUACUGCUUGCACCCCUAACAAUUAGCGGUACUACUGCUAGUCUAAGCGGUAUGACCGCGUGACAGCCUCGGAGAUUAGGCUAUGACGGUACCACUACUUGUCAGGGUAGUACCACCACCUAACACUGGGCAGUACCACUACCCAAACACUACCUAGGAGGCCGAUCCUCAAGAGUUUUCACCGCCAGCCCUAGUAGUGCCACCGCUUGACCUAGCUCUAGGUCACUGAAUGGGUCACCCAAUGGGCCCCUAACUGAGUUAGCCUAGUUACACCCGAAACUAACUUAAUUAAACCUAGACUACUUCUAUCUAGACAUAUAUAAUUACAAGCGUAAAUCCUAUAUUGUCCGGCAUAUCAUUGGUUCAUCCGACGCUUUAUCCAAUCCUUCGAUGCUUCAUCCUCUCCUUCAAUGUAUUGCUCAACUGACAUGUUAACCUUCCAUAAUAUCCAAUCUCCUUUGGCGUAAUGUUUGAUCCUUCGAUCCGAUGCUCGAACUCAUGGCAUGAAGUCCUUCCGACAAGUUGACUAGUCCUUUGACCCGACGUCCAAUCUUUUGACAUGUUCCACUCCGGCCCAACAUUUGAUUCUUCCUGCUUUAAUGAUUUGUAUUUCUAUGAUCGAAGUUAGUUUUGCGUCACUCAAACACACAUUAGAUCAUAACUUCAUCAAUUGAUUUCAUCAUCAAAAUCCGAGAUUCAAUAAUCUUUUCCUUUUUUAUGAUGACAACUAAUUGCUGACGGAGUUUAAACUAAACUCCCCCUAUUAAUAUGUCAUAUUGAAUUAAAACAAACCUUCAUUUAAAAAGAAUGACAACCUUUGAAACCAUGACUUUCACAUCAUUGCAUACAUGAGUAUUGCGUGUAUAAUUUUAACUCAUUAUAAUUUCAAAACAUCAAAGUAUGUCAUGCAUGAUCAUCAUCAUAACUUCUCCCCCCUUUGUUAUCAACAGAAAGGAUAAAAGUGCAACUAGUAAAAUUUUGAAACAUGCAAGCUAGUAAGUUAGCAAGUUUUACUUCACUUUUGAACAUGUAAGCUAGCAAGUUUUUGAGAUAUGAAAGUUAGCAAUUUUGCUUUUCUUAAGAUAUAGAAGCCAGUACUUUUACUUUUUUUUGAAAUAUGUAAGCUAACAAACUUUGCUUCUCUUUCGAGAUGUGCAAGCUAGCAAUCUUUGUUUCUCUUUUGAAAUAUGCAAGCUAGUAAUCUUUCUUUGAAAUAUGCAAGCUAACAUUUUUGUCUCCCCCUUUAUCAUUGUCAAAAAGAAGAGAAAAAUACAAUUAUGUAAUUUUUUUUCCUUUACAUCAUUUUUAAAUUAUGACAAAAUAAAAGAUAUCAAUUUGGUGAUGAGGUAUAUAAUUCAUGAAUAUAAGGGAGUCAUUUAGGAUAAAUAAAUUAUGACAUGAAAGAUUAAUAUUAAAUUAUGAGUACCAAAAGCCAUGAUUUAUUUUGACAAAUUUUCUCUUAAAUAACAAAAAAAAAUAUUAGAGGAUCAAAUAGUAAAAGAUCUUUAAAAGAAAUUUUAAGUCAUCAAUCAAGAGAAAAAUCAUAGAUCUUAAUUUAUAAAAAAUCUCAAGUUAUAAUUAUCAAGAUCAUGGUUAUUUAUAUAAUUCUCCUCUUUGGUAAAUGGUAAAAAGUAGAAAUCAUAGAAAAUAAAAAAGAUUUUGAUUCCCAUAAAAGAUACCUCAAGUCAAGAAUUUAAGAGAAAGUUCAUGAUUCGGUUGGAAAAAUCUCAUUCAAAAAUAUCAUAAAUGGAUUUAUCAAUCUGUUAUUGAAAAAUUCGAUAAGCUUAAAGGAUAGAGAAAUUUUCAAGAAAAAUAUAUUCUUCUUUUUUAGUUAUUUCAAUUCAUGCGAUUGAUUUCAUAUAAGCAUGCUCUUGUCUUUUAUACUAAAUCCAUGUAUCAUCGAUUAAAACUAGAAAAUAAGUUUCGUCAUGAUAAAGAUCAAUAGUAUAACAUAAAAACAAAUAUCUUCAAUCAAAUAAUUCCAAUGUCAAUGUUAUCAUUGUUUUGACUAGUGAGCUUUAUGAAGUAUGUUGGAUCUCUAAUCAUAUGCUUGAGCAUCCAUUAUCAAGAUAUCAUUUUGCUCCUAGCUUUCGAUUGUAGUCAUUUCUACUAGAAAUAUGGGUUUGCUUUAGAUAUCCAUUUGACUUUGGGUCCCUCAAGAUUAGAUCUACCUAUAUUGUCUAUUGGCAUAAAAUUAUUUAUGGUUCCUUUAAGAACCCAAAUUAAUUUAUACGAGUCAUACUUUAUAUAUAUAUAUAUAUAUAUAUAUAUAUAUAUAUAUAUAAUAANNNNNNNNNNNNNNNNNNNNAUUAUAUAUAUAUAUAUAUAUAUAUAUAUAUAUAUAUAUAUAUAAACAAAAUAAUUAUGUCUACCACAAAAAUUACACGUAACCUUAGGGAAAACAAGUACACAAAUGUGGUUGGCUUUUGUCGAGUAUUACUCACAAAGUCGAUUCCUUCCUUUUUAUGAACAUGAUCCUUUUUGGCAAGAAUCAUAUUUAAUUAUUUGCUACUAAUUUUAAAUUUUUUUAAUACUUAUUCUAAUAAUAAAUUGUUUUUUUUAUAUGAAUCUGACUCUUCACAUUUAGUGCAAGAAGUUAAUAAGCAUUUAUCAUACUCAUUUUUAAAAAUUUUAAAUUCAUUAGAAAGAGAAGUAUGAUCUUUUUUUAAUAAUUUAUAUUUUUUACUAAUUAAUUAAAUUUAUCAAACAAAUCAUGAAAAGCAUCAAGUAAUUCGUUGUAAAAUAAAGAAGUUUCAAUUGAGUUGCAUUCCUUGUGAUUGAAAGUCAUCAAAGUGUAGUUCAUCAUAUCGUCUUUGUUGGUUUGCUCCUCGUCUUCAGAUGUACUCAAUUUGUCCUAUGUCACUUUGAAUGCUUUCUUCUUCUUUAGUAGCUACUUCUUUAGUUUUGGAUAUUUGCUUUUGAAGUGCCCUAGCAUUUGCAUUCAUGGCAAAUGAUUAUAUCCUUUUUAAUUCAUUUUUAUAUUCUUAUUUUAUGAACUUUUUAAAUUUUUUUGUGAGGAGUUCUAUAUUAUAUUCACUUGCUUUCACUCAGAGUGUCUUCUUUGAUUCUAAGUGUAAUAACCUUUCUAUUCUUUGGAAGUCUGUCCUCAUAUUAGUCAUGUGUCAAAUAAAUCAUUUUAUAUGUCAUUAAUGAAUCAAUAAGUUCUUCUAGUGAAAAAUUAUUUAAGUCCUUUGCCUUUUGUAUUAACGGAUCCCAAUUCUUUAUAAGAAAUCUUAGAAUCUUGUUUAUAAGUUUAAGAUUAGAAAAACAUUUGUUAAGAGCUUUCAAACCAUUAAUGACAUCCGUAAAACUGAUAUACAUAUCUCCAAUGGUUUCGCUUAGUUUCAUUUGAAACAAUUCAAAAGCAUACAUCAAAAGAUUAAUCUUAGACUCUUUAACUCUACAUGUGCCUUCAUGUGUGACUUCCAAUGUGUGCCAAAUAUCAUGUAUAGUUUUACAUAUAGAAACAUGAUUAAACUUAUUUUUGUCUAAAGCGUAAAAUAAAACAUUCAUAGCUUAGCGUUUAAGGAAAAUGAUUUUUUCUCUAAAUCAUUCCAUUUAUUCAUUGAUUUAGAUAUUCCAUAAAUCAAAGUUCAUAGAAAGUAAAAAAAUCAUCAUACGAGUUCCAAUACGUGUAGUCCGUCCUAUUGAAUAUAGGAGGAUGAGUGAUUGAGUGACCCUCUAGAUUACCGGUAAAAGCCAUUUUCUUGGAUGUUAAACCAAUCAAGAAAAACUUGGCUCUGAUAUCAAUUAUUAUGACUGUUUCAGCACUAAGAGGGGGGAGGGGGGGAUGAAUUAGUGCUUUCAUAAAACUUCGAUGGUUUAGAAAAUUUUAUUCAAUAAAAGCUUGUAUCGAAAAGAUGUUUAACUUAAAAGCAUUCAUAAGUAUAGUAAGCAAGUAAAUCAAUUUAUAAUAAGAAUGAAAAGCAUAAAGUAAAUGCAAACUGAGUUUAUAAUGGUUCCAUCGUCCCGAUCUACAUUCACUCCCGAUUCGUCUUUCAUCGAGGCCACCAACAUUCACUACUAAUCUUCUUUCAAUGGGUGAAGAUUAAUUACCCUCUUACAACUCUUUCUCCUUUUGAUAGGCUUAGGAGAGAACCUUUCCAACUUCUCUUUUACACUAGAUCUCACUCCUCCCUUAGAAAGACCUCUAACUCUAGGAAGAAGAGACUUUAAAUUUUGAAAGAGAUUAUAAUACUUUUUCUCUCAAGUAUUCUUUUUCCUUUCUACUCAAUUUAUUGUCUCCUCAAGUAGGAAAGAGUGGGAUAUUUAUAAAUCCCAAAUGUCUUCAAAAUGGAGCCAAAUGUAUCACAUCCUCGGUUUUCAGGGUACUAGCGGUAGUACCGCCAGUAUUAGGCGGUACUACUACUAAUACUGGGCGAUGCUACAACUUGCAUCGCUGACAACUAGCGGUACUACCACCAAUCUGAGUGGUAUGACCGCUUGACAACCUCAGAGAUUGGCUCUAGCGGUACCAUCGCCUAUCAAGGCGAUACCAUCGCCCAAACACUACCUAGGAGGUUGAGCCUUAAGCGGUUCCACCGCCAGCCCUAGCGGUGCCAUCACCUGACUUGGUUCUAGGUCACUGAAUGAGCCAUCCAAUGGGCCCCUAAUUGAGUUAGUCUAAUUACACCCGAUUCUAACUCAAUUAGACCUAGACUACUUCGAUCUAGACACACAUGAUUACAAGCGUGAAUCCUAUGUUGUCUGGCAUGUCAUUGGUUCAUCCAACAUUUGAUUCUUCCUGCUUCACUCAAACGUAUAUUAGAUCAUAACUUUAUAAAUUGAUUUUAUCAUCAAAAUCAAAGAUUCAACACUUGCUUAGUCAAAUCCCUUAUUAGGGUUAUUUAGAUUGAGAGAGAAAGAGUUCUCCGAGAAAAUCCGAUUAGAGCGAGACUCGAUUAGAAACCAUAUGGGUCUGAUAGCACCAUACCCAAUAUACAAUCUAUAGGAUAUUAAAUGGAUAAGGGACUAUAGGUACACAAUAACUAAGGAUAGACAAGUUUAAUUGAUUUGAUUCUCUUGUAUUGUUUAGAGACUACGACGUAGUCGAUAAGUCGAGUAAAUUAUUAUGGAGAUAAUAAUUCACUAAGCUAGAAGGAGUUCUGAUAGGUAUAACUCAUGGCUAGCUCGAUAUUGGGCCUAGAGGGUCACACACAUAUAGUUGGUGUUACAAUGAGUAGAUGUUCAAAUAUGAGAUAUCCGCUAGAGCCCCUAUCUUAUUGGAUAUCCAAUAAACUCUUGAAUUAUUAGAUCUUAUGGAUGAGAUCCAAUAAGAGUCAAUAAGAGAUUAUUGGGUAGAGACCCACUAAUCUUAGAGGCUUGGUACUUGGAUGGAGAUUUAGUACCCAAUAUGGUAGGAUCCAUUAGUAUUAAGUUGAUAGGGGGCCUCUAUAAAUAGGAGGAAACCAAAGGGCCAUAGGCUAAGCCUUUUUGGCUGCCACCUCCUAUUCUCCUCUCCUUGUGUCCUACUCAACAUGUAGCCCCUAUUUGGGGCAUGUAGAUAGUAAGAAGGGGUGGCCCCAUUUUUAUUGCGUGGUGCGCGUAGUGAGGAGGAUUAUGCAGCAAUUUGAGGAGCAUCUUCGAAGCCCCUGCUAUGUGGAUCACCGCUAGAGAGGAGGACAAUUGACCUCCUUCAUCCUCUCCC
This 27455-nucleotide long non-coding RNA is filed under the name Musa acuminata (dwarf banana). Its description in RNAcentral is "long non-coding RNA (MACU_LNC007611)". Lineage: Eukaryota; Viridiplantae; Streptophyta; Magnoliopsida; Zingiberales; Musaceae. The record is from RNAcentral.